RNAcentral lists this small nucleolar RNA (106 nucleotides) under Gossypium hirsutum (cotton). Its description in RNAcentral is "Plant small nucleolar RNA R71". It matches the Rfam family "Plant small nucleolar RNA R71". Rfam says of the family: R71 is a member of the C/D box family of snoRNAs containing the C (UGAUGA) and D (CUGA) box motifs. Multiple nearly identical copies of this snoRNA have been identified in Arabidopsis, and it is thought to function as a 2'-O-ribose methylation guide for 18S ribosomal RNA. Lineage: Eukaryota; Viridiplantae; Streptophyta; Magnoliopsida; Malvales; Malvaceae. The record is from Rfam by way of RNAcentral.
AAUCCAUGCAUAGGACAUUUCCUAAGCAAAUCUUUGAACCUUUCCCAUGCUUUAUAUAGUGUUUUAUCCUCUAGUGCCUGAAAGAUGUUAUGUCAUUUCUCAGUUU